RNAcentral lists this ribosomal RNA (253 nucleotides) under uncultured bacterium. Its description in RNAcentral is "partial 16S ribosomal RNA". It matches the Rfam family "Bacterial small subunit ribosomal RNA", at positions 524 to 776 of the family's 1533-position model. The record is from RNAcentral.
UACGUAUGGAGCAAGCGUUAUCCGGAUUUACUGGGUGUAAAGGGAGCGCAGGCGGGAAGCCAAGUCAGCUGUGAAAACUACGGGCUUAACUUGUAGACUGCAGUUGAAACUGGUUUUCUUGAGUGAAGUAGAGGUUGGCGGAAUUCCGAGUGUAGCGGUGAAAUGCGUAGAUAUUCGGAGGAACACCGGUGGCGAAGGCGGCCAACUGGGCUUUAACUGACGCUGAGGCUCGAAAGUGUGGGGAGCAAACAGG